RNAcentral lists this unclassified non-coding RNA (455 nucleotides) under Hevea brasiliensis (rubber tree). The record is from RNAcentral. Lineage: Eukaryota; Viridiplantae; Streptophyta; Magnoliopsida; Malpighiales; Euphorbiaceae.
AUCUUGUUGAGGAGAAGAAAAUGGAAGCAACUAGAAUGGGAUCAUCACUCCUGUUGAUGUUUUGUUUUAGCGAUAGGAAUUCUUGCAGGAAAUCCACGGCUUGUUUUGGGGAUUGCUACAGAACUUGCUUCUUUGAAUGUAUUGCAGAAAGCCCACCUAGCAAAUGUGCUUUGAAGUGUUUAAAGGAUUGCAUAAUUGACCACAGCCUAUCAGCUGCCAACAAACCAAAUACCCAUUACUCCUUCUGCAAGCUUGGUUGCAGUUUCUUCCUGUGUGAAAAUAUCAGCUCUAAAGAAAACCCAAGUUAAGACAAGGUGGAAAGCUGUGUGGAUCUUUGCUCUGGGGCAUGCGCCAAAAAUUACAGGGCAUGAUGAGCUGUUAGCACUCUCUAGGUGUUAUUUAUUAUAUGCUAAUAAUACUGAUUAAUUAAUGAAUAAUAAAGCCUCAUGCAUUGG